AACGAACGCUGGCGGCAUGCCUAACACAUGCAAGUCGAACGAGUCCUUCGGGUCUGGUGGCGCACUCGUGCGUAACGCGUUGGAACCUGCCCUUAGGUUUGCCUUGACUCCCCGAAAGGCGUCCUAAUACCGGCUAAUGUCUUCCGUCCAAAGUUUUAUCGCCUUUGGAUGGGCCCGCGUUGGAUUACCUUGUGGUUAGCGUAAAACGGUACCACUGCUAGGUUACAUAGCUGGUUUGAGAGGAGGAUCAGCCACACUGGUAGUGAGGCACGGCCCAGAAUACUACGGGAGGGAGGAGUGGGGAAUAUUGGAAAAUGGGCGAAAGCAUGAACCAGCAAUGACGGGUGAGUGAUGAAGGCCGUAGGGUUGUAAAGCAAGUUUAUACCGGAUGAUAAUGACAGUACCGGGAGAAUAAGCUCCGGCUAACUCCGUG
Molecule: ribosomal RNA, 433 nt
Filed under: uncultured bacterium
Lineage: Bacteria
Description: partial 16S ribosomal RNA
Rfam family: Bacterial small subunit ribosomal RNA
Source: RNAcentral